Molecule: long non-coding RNA, 238 nt
Filed under: Bos taurus (domestic cattle)
Lineage: Eukaryota; Metazoa; Chordata; Mammalia; Artiodactyla; Bovidae
Description: long non-coding RNA NONBTAT011660
Source: RNAcentral
GGGUUUUUCGUUUUGUUUUAUUUCCUUAGGUACAAAACACUAAACAGGAGGUGAGCUCGUCCACAUUCAGCGAUUGUUUUCCCCCCGCUUUUUCGGAUUUUUUUUCUUUCCACAAACAAGUUUCGUUUGCUGGUUAAUUUUUUUUUCAUCCUUUUCACCAGUAAAGAUUAUGAGCAUUUAUUUAAAAACAGGAAAGUCAAAAACAAAAAAAGAGGAGAGAAUAGCACUAUGGUAUGUA